This is a non-coding RNA of Pelobates cultripes (western spadefoot toad), 222 nucleotides long. Lineage: Eukaryota; Metazoa; Chordata; Amphibia; Anura; Pelobatidae. The record is from the annotation of a GenBank genome assembly.
AGGAAUGUUACCAGCUAUUAUCAUAUAGGGUUGAUUCUUGUUCAGGACAAUUUAGGAAUGUUUAAGUACAAGAUGCUUUGGUCACCAAUAAGCCAAUGUGCCCUUGCUAAACCCAAGCAUUAUGGCAAUUUCAGGAUAUUUAAGCUGUCUAACUUAAUCUAUCUCUAUUGAUUACAUCCUUAUAUGUAUAUGGUUUCUAUAUGUAAAUUGCUAACAGGUUAG